UAACGACCUAUACAACAUACUCCCUCAGUUAAAUAAUAUUGGCAAUAUAAUGCUGUUUCGAAUGGCAGUUCUUGAAGUUGUUUUUGUGUUUUGGGUCUUUCGUAAUGGAUUUGGAGAAGUGAGCUGAACCAGUUCUUGUUAGUAUAUAUGGUGUGUAUUGGGUCAUAUUGCCAUUAUGCCAUUAUUUCAAAGAAUUUCAUUAAAUUUUUUAUUUAUAUCUCUUUUUUGAUAGACAUAUAUGUUUCAUUGACAUCGAACGAAUUUGGUUACUUAUUUCUUUUUCGGUGGUUAACGUUGGGUUGGAGGUUUUGACUUUUGCUAACUUUUGACAUAUCUGUUGAUUUGUAGUAUGCAAGCUUAAACGCUACCAAGAAGCUAAGCUUUGAGUCGAGUUCAUUAUUAGCAUAUCUGUUCACCUGUUAUGUUUGCAACUUUAUCAGCUCUUGUGCAGAAAUCCUUUAUGGUUGAUAAGCGCUCCCUUCUUGUUUAAUACAAAAGCAAAACCUAUGUAGACAGUGGUUAAAAGAGGUGGAUAAUGGUAGCUUCGGCUACUGUUACUUUAUUUAAUCUAAGUUACUGUACAAGGCAGCUGUUUUGAUCAUCAUGUUGCUAAACUAUACUGGGUUGAGCUUACCGACAGGGUUUAUUAUUGCAUGUUUGCUGAAAGUCAAAGCUUCCAUACCCCAACUUGACUGUGUUUAUUAUGUUCAUGAUGGUUUUUGGUUCACGUCACACUUAUUCCAAGUCUUGUUUUACUAUAUGUGGCACGGCUUGUUUGGAUGAGGAAUUUCUAUUCGUAAAAUCAUCGCGUUCGAUGGCUCUAUUUCAUCUUUGUCAAAUUGUACAUGACAGAACUGGCUUCAUUCCUUCCUUUGUAUGUAAACCACAUUUAUAGAACUUUUCCACGAUUGCAUUUUAAACUCGCUGAUUGAUGAAUUACGCGCAAUGCAUUCUUUUGAAACUUUUAAACCCUAGUCACUUCCAUUCCCGUUUUUUUUGCUUCCGACGUUUAUUAUUAUUUGUAAAUUAUUGUUAUGGUUGAAUUGCCGACCGUAUCUCGAAAUUUGUUUUGGUAAACAUUGCUUGGUUUUAUGUUCGAACCAUUGUCACAUCAAACAAUUUAAAUUGAAGUCCCACACAUAUAUUUUUGGCACUUAUAAUUUUGAUUUUUUUGAAAGAUCUGUACGAUCCGUCGUGAUUGUGUUACAAACCAAAAAUCGCUUUCAGAAUGCGCAUUUGCGGGUUGCUAAUUUUAGUGCGCGAUUCUUGCCGUCCUCUGAAACCGAUUGAAACAUUGAAAUUGUUAAAACAGUACUUUACGUUCGUACCUUAAACCAGUAGUAUCUGAACGGUGGUUAACGACAUUUGUAUUGCAGAUAAAGAGAAAGAUUAUUAUUCACUUGCUACACAUGGUUUAUACGAAAGUUUUAGAUUUUAAUAUCUGAUUACAAUUUCUCGUCGAUAUUUAGACUCCUUGUGGAACUCGUAU
Schizosaccharomyces pombe (fission yeast) is the source of this 1489-nucleotide non-coding RNA. NCBI's taxonomy places the organism in Eukaryota, Fungi, Ascomycota, Schizosaccharomycetes, Schizosaccharomycetales, Schizosaccharomycetaceae. The record is from the annotation of a GenBank genome assembly.